This 235-nucleotide unclassified non-coding RNA is filed under the name Gomphrena celosioides. Its description in RNAcentral is "ITS1". Lineage: Eukaryota; Viridiplantae; Streptophyta; Magnoliopsida; Caryophyllales; Amaranthaceae. The record is from RNAcentral.
UCGAAACCUGCAUAGCAGAACAACCAGUGAACAUGUUUUUUCCAUGAAUGGGGGAGGCGUGGUGGCUUGCCAACAACCUUCCCCAAAAUGUCACGGGGCUUUCCGUUGUGUUUGCUCCGUGGCACAACAACCAACCCCCGGCGCGUUAUGCGUCAAGGAAUGUAAUCAUGAGUUUGCCUAUCCAUGAUCGGGUUUCCGAUUUAUGGGUGUGGCACCAAUGUAUGUCAUAAAAUGA